Molecule: long non-coding RNA, 1363 nt
Organism: Mauremys mutica (yellowpond turtle)
Lineage: Eukaryota; Metazoa; Chordata; Testudines; Geoemydidae
Exons: 3
Source: RefSeq, a predicted model, not a curated record
UACCCAGUGUCAAUAGAAUCAUCUGUGAUCAAGUGGAUGAAUGGAACUAAAUGUUUGUGUGGUAGGGUAUAAACCUCACACUGGGCAACAAGCUGCUCUAGGCUCAGUCAGCCCUGUCCUGUCCUGCCACACAUGCACAGCCUGGAGAAGGCGAUAAAAGGGAAGUAGAACAGUGAAGAGGACAGACCUUCAACCCACAGCUCCAGAGGGAAGAAACUUGGAAGUCACCUGGCUGGAUGCCAAUUCACAGGAAGAGGCAGGUCACCACAGAGGAAGAGCACCUGGCAGCUGCACCCCCUAGCAGACACACAACUGCCAUGCCAAGCCCAGCCCAGAGGCGUAAGUGGAUGGAUGGAAGCAAAAAACGUUGAAGCUGAAGACCAAACAAAGUGAAGAGAUUUGCUUGUCAUAGAGUCCCACCACAAGAUAGAGCCUGUCACUAAUGUAUAUGUUUGGCGGACACAGUCACUUACAUGAGGCUGGAGGGUUGGUUUAUGGUUGUUCUUUGUCAGUUAUCCAAGGAUCAUCUUCAUGUUUGGUCUUUUAGCCAAUGUGUUUCACUAAAUCAUCACAAAGUGACUCUGCCAAGGAAAUAAUCAGCAGUACAUGAACUAAGGCAGCCGUCCAAACUUCACGCAGAUUUAGCAGGGGAAGUUGGUGAGCUACCAGUAUGAAUAUUAGUUAGUUUAAUGAUUCAUGUGUUGUCAAAGUUCACAUUGCAAAUCACAUGGAAAUAUCACUGUAAGCAAUAUUUUAAGACAAGGGAACAAGAACCACAUGUUAGUGUUACCCAGCCCAAUGCAGUUUAAAAAGGCUGUGUUAAACAGAGCUGUGUAAAACUCAGCCAUUAUCAUUUGAAGUGGAGCACAGUCCCACUGUAGUUCACAUGCAGGCAGACUUUUAGAAGUGCUCACUUAUUUUGUGUGCUGGGAGGGGAUCAGUUGGGCCAUUAAUGAUAUUGGAACUUAAAAUCAUAUAAUUUGUAUCACUUUCUAGCUUUCUUUGUCUACGUCUGUUCUGACAUGAUUUUUGUGGCCAAUCUCAAGAACCACUGGAGAUAGAGAUUUAUGCUAUAUGCCAUUUGAACACAAGGGGUCCAAGUUCUGAGGUGGCACAUGGCACUGAAUUCAUGCUCUAAUGGUUUGGAAGGCAGAGAACAUUGAAAUCACUGGCCAUUUAGAGAGUUCAAACUCCGCUUGGAAACAGUGCUCAAAGCUUAGAGCAGACACAGCUGAAGAGUCACAAAUGCCUAUUGAGCUUUCCCUAAUCAUGCUGGAGGCAAAAACAUCUGUUUUUCAGGAUCUGUACAGCUGACUGAUCCAUACAUUUGAUGGAACAGUUCCCUUUCUUCUGUGGCCAUUUA